Prinia subflava (tawny-flanked prinia) is the source of this 5171-nucleotide long non-coding RNA. RefSeq lists it as uncharacterized. The transcript has 4 exons. NCBI's taxonomy places the organism in Eukaryota, Metazoa, Chordata, Aves, Passeriformes, Cisticolidae. The record is from RefSeq and is a predicted model, not a curated record.
UUUUUUUUUUUUUUUUUUUUUUUUGGGUUCUGUUUGAGCUUUCCCUCCUCCCCUUGGAAAAAAAAACCACCAAAAAAAAAGAAAAAAGCCCUCACUCUUCAAGGUUUUUCUGGAAACCUUUACAAGGAAGAAUGUGCCAGGGUCAAGUCUUUACUGAUUUUCAUGGUGAAUAGAUUACAUGCUUGCAUUCAUGUUCACUUCCGAAGCGCUUAGUGUCUUCCUUCCCUUACUUACAUAUUAACCUCAAAUACCCCGCGCAGCUUCAGCCAAGCUUUACUGGAGGUAGUUAACAAUGUCGGGUCCCCAGGAUGCAGGUUUCCCUUCCUCACCCCCUCCAACUCGUCCCUUGCCUCGAUCGCAACGCCAGAAAGCCAGCAAGCCCUGUAAAGUGCAGACCACGGAGCUAAAGACUGUUUGCUGAUCUCUCCGCCUCAGCUCUGCAGCUAAAUUCUUGGAAAACCAGUGGAUAUUGGGCUACCCCAGCUUGACAAAUACUCCGAGUUUAAUUGCCAGAAGCCUAGUUAAAAUUAUUUGACAUACUGUUAACCCGUAGGAACAAACUCGUCGUACCGAGAUACUUUCCUUUUAGCUUUGUGUCGUCGCUGAAGGCUGAGACCCAGGGAGACCUAUUUUAAAAACCUGGUUAAACUUUUACUAUUGUUGCAUGAAAGGGAUGAUAUAGAAAGCGGAUUGUACAGGGCAGAGACUAAAAAGUACUUUUCUGCCAAUAAAAAUGCACACCCCACCGAAUGAGCAGAGCCAAAGAAAACAGAGAAAUACGCCAAAGAAUACAGCACCUUUUGAGGCACGGACAUCCCUAAGCUCUCGGAAAAAGUAUUUUUUUGCUAUCCUGAUGCUCGAUUUCAGAAAAGAAAUAUUUGAGUUCCGGCUGGAUUUCAUCAAAAUAGAAAAGCAGAAUGGCAAAAGGCUAUUGUGAAGUCGGUACUCUUAGGAAAUCAGACGUGGUUCAAGAGCCAUGCCCCCGUGGACUUGGGAGGCUAGUGGAAGGGAAACGAAAAUGUUAGGGAAAUAAUAUUUGGAUUUUCCCCCCCUCUUCCUCUGCAGUGCAGUGGAAGUAUUUAUAUAUCCGGAGAAAGUUCUCUAGUAAAUUCUGGAGAUCCUCGGUAUUUAAAUGUCAACAUCGAUUUGUUUAUUUAUUGCUUAGCUUAUCGUAACCGACUCAAUAACAAAUCUAAUCAUGUUGUGCAGAGAGAAAAUAUUCUUAUUAUGCAUUUCCCCUACAUUAUAGUUAACUAUUGCGUUUGAAUUCAAGCUGUAAAUUCAAUAUUAUCAAGUAAUUACUUUGUAGUGGAGUAAACUAAUUUAUUAGCAUUAAUGUUUAUAUGCCUUUUUCUUAUUUUACAAGGGUUACCGUUCACAAAUCAAAUGCUCUGGACGUAUCCCUGUAAUGAACUCUUUAUUUUGGUUUGCUGCAAGAACUUCUUAUGCUUACUGCACGUCUGUGAGCUGAACUUGAAAUUAAUGAAUUAAUCUUCCAGCUUGACAUAUUUGCUAGAAAGUGGAUGGAAAGAGAUUGCAUGUCGUCAAAACCGCUAGCAGAAGACUGCAGUGUCGUUUAGGGAUUGUAAAAAGUAAUUGGGACUUCCGCGUUGAGGAAGAGGGAAAACCGAGCCUUCCUCUCGCUAACCUCACUGAGAACAACAUAAACAAAGGCAAGCAUUUCGUUUGGAGAAGCAAAAUGCAUUCGUUACGCCUUCCCAUGUAUUUCGACCGGAUUAGAGAGGGUAAAACCGCUCUGAAUUUGGAACCUCUGCUGCAGGACGGUUUUGCAAAGGAGAAGCGUGGCCAAGAGAUUAAGCACAGAAAGCUACAGAAAAUGAAAUGCCUUAACGCCGAGACCAGCCUGUCGUAGCUUGACUGUUUCUGAGAUGCCGAGAUCCACACCAUGCCACAGAAAUUCACGUCAAGGUAAUUGACUGGGAUUCUAAGCUAAAUUGAAUUUUAUAGGAUAUAAGGUUCUCUCUAAUGCACAUUAAAUUUUAACAAUGAUUUAUAAAGGUAUUUCAUUUUUUUAUUUAAUUAUUUUGCCCAACUCGCCAAGAAACACAUCGGAUUUUACUGUACCACUGCUAACUUUAUGGGAGAGCCUUAUUCACAUAUCGUGAAACCCACCGAACUAAAGCCAUUUCUUCAUCAAUGCUUGCUUUAGGGGCGGGUACAGGAAGUAUCGCUAUACCGAGAAUGUCAAAUCAACGACUUCAAAGCUCCAACUCCAUAUUUUGAUGGACUCUCAGAAUUGUGUUGUAAUUAAGGUACCUGUACUUGUGUAACAUUUAUAGGAAGCUGUUUGUAUAACACGGGCUUAAAGUACGUGCUGCAAUUUAGGAUGCAAUCAUACGUCCAUGUACAGCUUAGCCAGCUCGUCAGGAUCGUUUCUUGUCUCUUCUCUAAUAUGUAAAGCAAGGAUACCCAUAAAAACAGCUCUUUCUCUAAGCCUAAUAUGGCUGCUCUUGCCUGUGCCCGGGUGGAAGCCUGCUCACUGUCCCGCUUGUUUCCCUUUCCCGACUUUUCAACAAGCGCUGAUACUAAUAUCUCUCCUUCCAGAAAUCGGGGGGCAUAAGCAUGACAGAUCCACAUUGCAGAGUCCGGGGGAAUUCGGGCAAAAUAUCCAAAAUGGGACCAGGCGAAGUGUGGUAGUUAGCAUUCUUUCUCUUUCGGUUUAUUUUCCCAUCAAGUUCAUACAGCACAGUAUUUAGAAAUACUCACAUAUUUAAAUGUAAACCAGACACUGUCUGGAGACGAAGUCCAUCCAAGACUGCUUUGUAAUCAUUUUUAUAUUUUUUAAAAUUUUUUUUUUCCUACUCGAAGGCAUUUAGAGGCCAGGCUUGAAAUAACUCGCUUUUCUAUUAGUCCUCACCCAAGCCGACCAUAUAGGUCGUUUUAUACGGUCAGGAAUAAAUGAAAGCAAUUUGCUUUGUGCGCUCAAAUCAAGGCGAUUACGACGAGAUUCAGAUUAAUUAAAACUGACAGGUUACAAUGCCCGGCUGGAAUUUUUCUCUCUAGAUACGCACAAACAAUGGCGAAAAGCAGACAGGUUAAACAUCCUUCCCCGUAUUUCUUGCAUACACAGCCGUCCACCCUCCUCCCCUGCACUUGAAUGAUUAAAACAAUUUCAGAGGCAAGUACAUGGGAAUAAAACAACCGGCGAUAAAAUCCAGGAGACGUUUUUCCAUGCAGCCUGAUCCAGCUCUGCAAUACAACACGGCACUGCGCGAAGCCAAACAACCAGCAGCUCUAUCUGCAAGUCUGCUCUCGUCCUGGGCUCUGAACCCAGCCUCUCCAGAAGCACUUUCCUGCCAAGAGCCCUCUUUGCUUCCCACCUAUGCUACAGAGGAAAGCAGCAUCCCUGAGGAAGGUGGAGCCGGCACCCAAGCUAGGAGAAAGAGCCUUACUUUUCUCCACGAGCUCUUCGGCUCUAUAAGCAUCAGCUUAGGCAGCCGCCUUCCCCCAGGUCCCCGAAGGAGAAGCGGCACCUCGGCCUCAUACAUCGUGGGAGAAACGGAGUGGGGAUUUCCGCUGGCGAUUUGCACACAAGGUGAUUGCAGGAGGCUAAAAUGCUGUCUAAUUCCACGGAUUCCCAUCGCACGAGCAGGAGAAACGAAAAGAAAAAAAAAAAAAAAAGAAAAAGAAAAAAAGAAGUCCCAGUGUUUUUGAUCACGAGACACCGGCCGUUCCUCCCCAGUACACCCCGGGUCACAGUACAGUAAUGACCGUGGGUUGCGCGUUGUAGGACUUGACCUUUCCUACGUAGAAGAGGGCGCUUUACGCUAAGGGGAGGGAAGGGAGGGGGAAGCGGCGGGAGGAAGAGAGAUGCUCUCUUUGGGGAUGUUUGAUCACAGUUCAGAUCUAGGAACGGGCAAAGCUUCUGCCUUGCAGUACGCCAUGUUGGAGCUAUUCACUGGAGAGAAAAAAAAAUCUUUUUGGGGGUGCGGGGGCGGGAAGGAGGCCGAAGGGAGGAGAGAGGAAGAUAGGCUUAAUGAACAUUAGCAUUUCGUACCCUAGUUCAUGAAUCAACUGCAUUCAAGGGGGAGGGGGCCCAGGGGGCAGGGAAAGGCUCACGGCGUGGCCAGAACACCCGCGGCCGGACCCCCGCAGACGCGGCCGGGGCGCAUGGGCGCGUCCCGGCACCCACCGCCCCACAGCCCCCGGCCCGCGGGGAAAAGCCGCCCCCCGGUUCCCGCCCCCUCUGCCUUUUGGGCUCCUUUACCGGCCGAGAGCGCGCAAGGACAUCUCCUCAAAUCCUCAUGAAAGUGCAUUGAAACGCAUCUAAAUGUUAUGAAUGGCGACAAACGGCCUUUUAGCGCCUGCCAAUAUUUUUUUUGUAUUAAGCGCUGUCUUGAUUUUAUUGCUAACGCUGCCCACGGAGAAUGCUGAAAUGCACCAGGAAUGGGAUUUUAUUUACGCUGUAGAUAUUUUAAUGUAUAGGCGAGAGGCCGAGAUUCUUUCCCGUUCUCUCAGACAUAUAUAUAUAUAUAUAUAUAUAUAUAUAUACCCGUUUUUCUGGAAGUAAUGGGCGAUUUUCUGAACACUUCAAUAUUGAGGACGACAUUCCGGUAUUUAAACGGGAAUCUUUCUGAGUGAAAGGCAGCCGAAAAAAAAAUAGAUUUAGAGUUAUUAUUUUUCGGAAAUAUGCUCCUGUCAAGGUUUAUUUCCCACAGCAAUCCACCUUUGCUACAGCCAAGUGCUCUAGGCGGGGAUAGAUUAAAUACCAGAUUAUUUGCUGGGUGGGAAAAAGUGUAACAUUUGUUAUACCUGUCUGUCCGCGUCAAAGACAUAAGGACAUUUUCUACCCAUGGGAAAACUGAGGGACCCACGACGCCAAGAAUCAGGCGAUUAUAAACUACCAUUUCCGAAUACUGGGAAUCAAAAUGUACGUCUUUGAAUCCAAGACUGAAAGUGAGCUACGUGGAGAUUGAAGUGAAACGGAACUUUUUUUUUCUUUAAUUAUAUUGCGUGUUUUGCUCUACGAAUGAAAUGCUGCUCUUUUUUUAGUGCUCCAAUAAAUACGCUAAAUAUACAGUAAUAACUUGCUCCCUCUGUCCCUUGCGUCUCUCUCCACAGCUGCUAAAAUAUUACACCUAACGUUCUUGAUUCAAGGGAAGCUGAGAAAAUAAAGACUGUACGACGUAUACAUACGUUUUGUUUUUUAA